GCUUCCUUGGCUCAGUUGGUAGAGCGUUGGUCUCAUAUUUUCUAUGAGUAAUAUCAUUUACGUAAUCCAAAGGUCGUGAGUUCGAGCCUCACAGGGAGCA
Molecule: non-coding RNA, 100 nt
Organism: Ceratobasidium sp. 392
Lineage: Eukaryota; Fungi; Basidiomycota; Agaricomycetes; Cantharellales; Ceratobasidiaceae
Source: the annotation of a GenBank genome assembly